GACGAACGCUGGCGGCGUGCUUAACACAUGCAAGUCGAACGGUAAGGCCCUUCGGGGUACACGAGUGGCGAACGGGUGAGUAACACGUGGGUGAUCUGCCCUGCACUUCGGGAUAAGCCUGGGAAACUGGGUCUAAUACCGGAUAGGACCACUGCCUGCAUGGGUGGUGGUGGAAAGCUUUUGCGGCGUGGGAUGGGCCCGCGGCCUAUCAGCUUGUUGGUGGGGUGAUGGCCUACCAAGGCGACGACGGGUAGCCGGCCUGAGAGGGUGACCGGCCACACUGGGACUGAGAUACGGCCCAGACUCCUACGGGAGGCAGCAGUGGGGAAUAUUGCACAAUGGGCGCAAGCCUGAUGCAGCGACGCCGCGUGAGGGAUGACGGCCUUCGGGUUGUAAACCUCUUUCAGCACCGACGAAGCGCAAGUGACGGUAGGUGCAGAAGAAGAACCGGCCAACUACGUGCCAGCCGCCGCAGUAA
This 478-nucleotide ribosomal RNA is filed under the name uncultured bacterium. Its description in RNAcentral is "partial 16S ribosomal RNA". It matches the Rfam family "Bacterial small subunit ribosomal RNA", at positions 28 to 523 of the family's 1533-position model. The record is from RNAcentral.